UCUUAGAGAAAAAGGGAGGCUGUGCUGGAGGAUGGAGACAUCUCUGUUGAUGAACCUAGGCAUGAAAAGGGAAGGAUCUCAAUCCGGCAUACGAUAAAGCUGAUUUCAGCUGAACGCGAGGAAGGAGAAGAAGAUGCUGAUCUGCAUGCUGCAAAUAAAAUUAUUCAUAGCAAGCAUUACAACAUCCUGCAAAUAAAAUAGCUAGAGAAUAAGAGGAUUAGGUUUUGGCAGGAUGCGAGGUGCCAACUUAUUAAGCACGAGAGUCGUAAGAUCCCGGUUAUAGAAGAAGAGUAGGCCAAUCCCAAUCUUAGGCUGCAACAAACAAGGAAAUUCCUGUCAUCAAAUCGGCCUGAUCCCCAAAAGGAAAUCGCAAUCCAAAAUCCCUCGGAGUAUGAGUUGGGUGAUGCUCCCAGAAGGAAGAGUGAAAGCGCGCAUGAGGAGAAGGAAAGAUGGACAUAUCUUAACUCAGAAAGAGCGGUGUUUGUAUUGUUUUGAGAACCCAUCCUGGCCAAAGCAUCUGGUUGUGGCACUAGGGAACUUGACUUACCUGAUGCUUCCACAGUUUGAGCCUAUUGUUCCUGGUCACUGCGUUAUUCUUCCGUUGCAGCAUGAGUCUGUAACAAGAGCAGUUGAUAUCAGUGUUUGGGAGGAGAUUCACAACUUGAAAAGGUGUAGCCUGAAGAUGUUUGCGCUGCAGGGCCAGAAUGUGAUUUUCAUGGAGACUGCAUGUGCUUGGCCAAGCAAAGCUUGCACCAGCACUUGUGUAGAAACUAAAAGUAGAUGGCAUUUUUGUGAAAGAACCCUAGGAUAUUGUAGGAUUUUCAAAAUGGCCCAGUUGUACUUGACUAUAAAAUGGUUAUCGUUCAGAAUA
Triticum aestivum (bread wheat) is the source of this 871-nucleotide long non-coding RNA. RefSeq lists it as uncharacterized. The record is from RefSeq and is a predicted model, not a curated record. NCBI's taxonomy places the organism in Eukaryota, Viridiplantae, Streptophyta, Magnoliopsida, Poales, Poaceae. The transcript has 3 exons.